This 366-nucleotide RNase P RNA is filed under the name Planctomycetaceae bacterium. RNAcentral describes it as "RNase P RNA component class A". It matches the Rfam family "Bacterial RNase P class A". From Rfam's summary of the family: Ribonuclease P (RNase P) is a ubiquitous endoribonuclease, found in archaea, bacteria and eukarya as well as chloroplasts and mitochondria. Its best characterised activity is the generation of mature 5'-ends of tRNAs by cleaving the 5'-leader elements of precursor-tRNAs. The record is from RNAcentral. Lineage: Bacteria; Pseudomonadati; Planctomycetota; Planctomycetia; Planctomycetales; Planctomycetaceae.
AGAGAGGACUGGACGGUCGCCGGUUUGGCUCGCAAGGGUCAGACGGGAGGAAAGUCCGGGCGUCGUAGGACAGGGUGGUGGGUAACGCCCACCGGUCGUGAGACCAGGGAAAGUGCAACAGAAAGUAAACCGCCGCGCAAGCGGUAAGGGUGAAACGGUGCGGUAAGAGCGCACCAGCAGGCGGGGCGACUCGUCUGGCUUGGUAAACCCCGCCCGACGCAAGGCCAAACAGGGAGCAGAAUCGGUCCGAUUCGUUACGACUUCCGGGUAGGCUGCUAGAGGCGGCGAGCAAUCGUCGUCGUAGAGGAAUGAUCGUCGCGCGGCGCAAGCCGCGUACAAAACCCGGCUUAUAGGUCCUCUCUUACG